AUAUAUUAAAGGGCCGCGGUAAUUUAACCGUGCAAAGGUAGCAUAAUCACUAGUCUUUUAAAUGGAGGCUUGAAUGAACGGUUGAACAAAUAAAUAACUGUCUAUUUUUUAAAUUUUGAAUUUAACUUUUAAGUGAGAAGGCUUAAAUAUUUCAAAGGGACGAUAAGACCCUAUAAAUCAUUUUAUUGGGGCGAUAAAAGUAUAAAUUGUAACUGCUUAUAGGUAAAUACUUGUAUCUUUGUAAUGAUCCUUUAAAAGAUUAAAAGAUUAAGUUACUUUAGGGAUAACAGCGUUAUUUUUUUUGAAAGUUCUUAUUGAAAAAAAAGUUUGCGACCUCGAUGUUGAAUUAAAAUUUCUUUAUGGUGUAGCCGUUAUAAGAGAAGGUCUGUUCGACCUUUAAAUUUUU
RNAcentral lists this ribosomal RNA (406 nucleotides) under Paromolopsis boasi. Its description in RNAcentral is "partial 16S large subunit ribosomal RNA". It matches the Rfam family "Bacterial large subunit ribosomal RNA", at positions 1918 to 2597 of the family's 2925-position model. The record is from RNAcentral. Lineage: Eukaryota; Metazoa; Arthropoda; Malacostraca; Decapoda; Homolidae.